RNAcentral lists this ribosomal RNA (646 nucleotides) under uncultured bacterium. Its description in RNAcentral is "bacterial SSU rRNA". It matches the Rfam family "Bacterial small subunit ribosomal RNA", at positions 110 to 753 of the family's 1533-position model. The record is from RNAcentral.
GUAAUAUAUCGGAACGUACCUUAUCGUGGGGGAUAACGCAGCGAAAGCUGCGCUAAUACCGCAUACGCCCUGAGGGGGAAAGCGGGGGACCGUAAGGCCUCGCGCGAUUAGAGCGGCCGAUAUCUGAUUAGCUUGUUGGUGGGGUAAAAGCCCACCAAGGCGACGAUCAGUAGCUGGUCUGAGAGGACGAUCAGCCACACUGGGACUGAGACACGGCCCAGACUCCUACGGGAGGCAGCAGUGGGGAAUUUUGGACAAUGGGGGCAACCCUGAUCCAGCAAUGCCGCGUGAGUGAAGAAGGCCUUCGGGUUGUAAAGCUCUUUUGUCAGGGAAGAAACAGCAGCUCUAACACAGUCUGCGAAUGACGGUACCUGAAGAAUAAGCACCGGCUAACUACGUGCCAGCAGCCGCGGUAAUACGUAGGGUGCAAGCGUUAAUCGGAAUUACUGGGCGUAAAGCGUGCGCAGGCGGUUAUACAAGACAGGCGUGAAAUCCCCGGGCUUAACCUGGGAAUGGCGUCUGUGACUGUAUGACUAGAGUGUGUCAGAGGGGGGUAGAAUUCCACGUGUAGCAGUGAAAUGCGUAGAUAUGUGGAGGAAUACCAAUGGCGAAGGCAGCCCCCUGGGAUAACACUGACGCUCAUGCA